GGAGGUUUAGCUCAGUUGGUAGAGCAUCUGACUUUUAAUCAGAGGGUCGCUGGUUCGAACCCGUUAACCUCCACCA
Molecule: transfer RNA, 76 nt
Filed under: Listeria monocytogenes
Lineage: Bacteria; Bacillati; Bacillota; Bacilli; Caryophanales; Listeriaceae
Description: tRNA-Lys
Rfam family: tRNA
About the family: Transfer RNA (tRNA) molecules are approximately 80 nucleotides in length.
Source: RNAcentral